GCGGUGUAAAAUGAGCGUGCGUCCUAUUAGCUAGUUGGUGAGGUAAUGGCUCACCAAGGCUACGAUGGGUAGGGGUUCUUAGUGGAAGGUCCCCCACACUGGCACUGAGAUACGGGCCAGACUCCUACGGGAGGCAGCAGUAGGGAAUAUUGGUCAAUGGGCGCAAGCCUGAACCAGCCAUGCCGCGUGCAGGAUGAAGGCUCUCUGAGUUGUAAACUGCUUUUGUACAGGAGCAAAAAAAUCCCUGCGGGGGUUCUUGAGAGUACUGUAAGAAUAAGCACCGGCUAAUUCCGUGCCAGCAGCCGCGGUAAUACGGGAGGUGCAAGCGUUAUCCGGUUUUAUUGGGUUUAAAGGGUGCGUAGGCGGCUUAUUAAGUCAGUUGUGAAAUCCUAGUGCUUAACGCUAGAACUGCGAUUGAUACUAUUAGGCUUGAGUUAAGAAGAGGUAA
This 448-nucleotide ribosomal RNA is filed under the name Cardinium endosymbiont of Bemisia tabaci. Its description in RNAcentral is "bacterial SSU rRNA". It matches the Rfam family "Bacterial small subunit ribosomal RNA", at positions 215 to 660 of the family's 1533-position model. Lineage: Bacteria; Pseudomonadati; Bacteroidota; Cytophagia; Cytophagales; Amoebophilaceae. The record is from RNAcentral.